Molecule: ribosomal RNA, 402 nt
Filed under: uncultured bacterium
Lineage: Bacteria
Description: partial 16S ribosomal RNA
Rfam family: Bacterial small subunit ribosomal RNA
Source: RNAcentral
AUUGAACGCUGGCGGCAGGCCUAACACAUGCAAGUCGAGCGAGCGGCGGACGGGUGAGUAAUGUAUGGGGACUGCCCGAUAGAGGGGGAUAACUACUGGAAACGGUGGCUAAUACCGCAUACUAUCGGAUAACCCAUAUGGGAUUAGCUAGUAGGUGGGGUAAAGGCUCACCUGGGCGACGAUCUCUAGCUGGUCUGAGAGGAUGAUCACCCACACUGGGACUAGGAAACGGCCAAGCCUCCUAGGGAGGCAGCGGUGGGGAAUAUUGCACAAUGGGGGCAAGCCGGUUGCAGCCAUGCCGCGUGUAUGAAGAAGGCCUUAGGGUGUUAAAGUACUUUCAGCGGGGAGGCGUUCCCCGAAGAAGAAGCACCGGCUAACUCCGUGCCAGCAGCCGCGGUAUAC